This 471-nucleotide ribosomal RNA is filed under the name Bacillus sp. (in: firmicutes). RNAcentral's name for it is "bacterial SSU rRNA". It matches the Rfam family "Bacterial small subunit ribosomal RNA", at positions 334 to 797 of the family's 1533-position model. The record is from RNAcentral. Lineage: Bacteria; Bacillati; Bacillota; Bacilli; Caryophanales; Bacillaceae.
UACUCCUACGGGAGGCAGCAGUAGGGAAUCUUCCGCAAUGGACGAAAGUCUGACGGAGCAACGCCGCGUGAGUGAUGAAGGUUUUCGGAUCGUAAAGCUCUGUUGUUAGGGAAGAACAAGUGCGAGAGUAACUGCUCGCACCUUGACGGUACCUAACCAGAAAGCCACGGCUAACUACGUGCCAGCAGCCGCGGUAAUACGUAGGUGGCAAGCGUUGUCCGGAAUUAUUGGGCGUAAAGGGCUCGCAGGCGGUUUCUUAAGUCUGAUGUGAAAGCCCCCGGCUCAACCGGGGAGGGUCAUUGGAAACUGGGAAACUUGAGUGCAGAAGAGGAGAGUGGAAUUCCACGUGUAGCGGUGAAAUGCGUAGAGAUGUGGAGGAACACCAGUGGCGAAGGCGACUCUCUGGUCUGUAACUGACGCUGAGGAGCGAAAGCGUGGGGAGCGAACAGGAUAGAUACCCUGGGUAGUCCA